Molecule: ribosomal RNA, 253 nt
Filed under: uncultured bacterium
Lineage: Bacteria
Description: partial 16S ribosomal RNA
Rfam family: Bacterial small subunit ribosomal RNA
Source: RNAcentral
UACGAAGGGGGCUAGCGUUGUUCGGAAUCACUGGGCGUAAAGCGCACGUAGGCGGAUUCUUAAGUCAGGGGUGAAAUCCUGGAGCUCAACUCCAGAACUGCCUUUGAUACUGGCGAUCUUGAGUCCGGGAGAGGUGAGUGGAACUGCGAGUGUAGAGGUGAAAUUCGUAGAUAUUCGCAAGAACACCAGUGGCGAAGGCGGCUCACUGGCCCGGUACUGACGCUGAGGUGCGAAAGCGUGGGGAGCAAACAGG